Molecule: ribosomal RNA, 894 nt
Filed under: Verruciconidia persicina
Lineage: Eukaryota; Fungi; Ascomycota; Sordariomycetes; Hypocreales; Bionectriaceae
Description: LSU rRNA
Rfam family: Eukaryotic large subunit ribosomal RNA
Source: RNAcentral
GCAUAUCAAUAAGCCGGAGGAAAAAGAAACCAACCAGGGAUUGCCUCAGUAACGGCGAGUGAAGCGGCAACAGCUCAAAUUUGAAAUCUGGCCCUAGGCCCGAGUUGUAAUUUGCAGAGGAUGUUUCUGGCGAGGUGCCUUCCGAGUUCCCUGGAACGGGACGCCAUAGAGGGUGAGAGCCCCGUACGGUUGGUCGCUAAGCCUCUGUGAAACUCCUUCGACGAGUCGAGUAGUUUGGGAAUGCUGCUCUAAAUGGGAGGUAUACGUCUUCUAAAGCUAAAUACCGGCCAGAGACCGAUAGCGCACAAGUAGAGUGAUCGAAAGAUGAAAAGCACUUUGAAAAGAGGGUUAAAUAGUACGUGAAAUUGUUGAAAGGGAAGCGCUUAUGACCAGACUUGGACCGGUUGAUCAUCCAUCGUUCUCGGUGGUGCACUCUGCCGGUUCAGGCCAGCAUCAGUUUGUCCCGGGGGAUAAAGGCUUUGGGAAUGUGGCUCUUCGGAGUGUUAUAGCCCAUUGCGUAAUACCCUGGGAUAGACUGAGGUUCGCGCUCCGCAAGGAUGCUGGCGUAAUGGUCAUCAGUGACCCGUCUUGAAACACGGACCAAGGAGUCGUCUUCGUAUGCGAGUGUUCGGGUGUCAAACCCCUACGCGUAAUGAAAGUGAACGUAGGAGAGAGCUUCGGCGCAUCUCCGACCGAUCCUGAUGUUCUCGGAUGGAUUUGAGUAAGAGCAUACGGGGCCGGACCCGAAAGAAGGUGAACUAUGCUUGUAUAGGGUGAAGCCAGAGGAAACUCUGGUGGAGGCUCGCAGCGGUUCUGACGUGCAAAUCGAUCGUCAAAUAUGAGCAUGGGGGGCGAAAGACUAAUCGAACCUUCUAGUAGCUGGUUUCCGCCGAA